This is a long non-coding RNA of Lycium ferocissimum, 2068 nucleotides long. RefSeq lists it as uncharacterized. The record is from RefSeq and is a predicted model, not a curated record. The transcript is spliced from 2 exons. NCBI's taxonomy places the organism in Eukaryota, Viridiplantae, Streptophyta, Magnoliopsida, Solanales, Solanaceae.
CAGACCUUCCAUUCUACCAAGUGUAUUGGCUUCCUAUGAAACCCAAAUCAUUUAAAUUACAUAUUUGAAUGGAAUGCACAAAAUCAGCCACUUCAUUGUUCUUUACUGGUAUGCCUCCUAGCUUCUCUUCCCCUGAAGUUAUUACAUUAAAAUCACCUAUCACCAGCCAUGGUAGAUUAAAAUCAGUGGAAAGAUCUUCUAAGGACUCUCACAACUCCAAUCUUUCCCUUUGAUCACAUCUAGCAUAUACUACAGUCACUAGAAUAUCAGUAACCAAUUCUUGGUUAUACACCUGAACUGUUACUUGUUGAAUUUCAUCCUUCACCACAGUGACUUGCAUUAUUUCAUCAAAAAAGACCCAAAUUUUUCCUGUAGUGUUAGAAAUAGCUGUAUGCAUCCCUAACUAUCUUUUAUAAUGUUCAAUAUUGUCAAAAGUUUCAAAAGGUUCCAACAAACCAAUCAUGUAGAAUUGUUGACUUCUAUGCAUUGUUUGUAAUCUUUGAAAAGCCUGUUGUGUAUUUACAGACCUAAUAUUCCAAAGCAAGGCUUGCUUCAUGGUAAACUAAAUGUUUUGGUUGCUGUUCUCCUUAUCUGUACUCCCCUUGUAGGUAGUACUGAUUGUUCUUUGUUGUCUUUUGAUUGUUUCCACUUUUGCUUUCCAAGUGACUUCAAUCUAUCAAUUUGCUUUGGCGAUAAAUCCCCAGUAUUAGCUGCAUUCUAAAUAUUAAUAUUGAUAUCCUCUUCAUCUAUAUCUUCAUCUUUAUAUCCAAAGAUCUUGUAACUGUUGUUGUGCUGUAUUUUCAGUCCCCUAUUUCUUUGUUAAAGAUGCUUUUUUUGAAUUGGUUUCUGCUGUUUUUGUUGGUGUAGUUUUCAAUGGACUGGUUACUGUUGGCUUUAAGGGUGAAGUUUUUUGUGAAUUAAUUUUUGUCACAUUGUGUUUGUCUUGAUCUUUUGUACCCUCUGUAGCAGUUUCUGUGUUGUUUGUCACCUGCUCUACUUGUUGUUCCUUUCCGUUUGUUUGUCUCUUCACUGUAAUCCUCUUGUGUUCCAUCCCCUACAUUAGUGCUAGCAUUAUCUGCUAUUUCAUUAUUACUUUUUACUGCACUUUUGUUUGUAGAUGCUGAAUAAUCAAUUUUGUCUUCACCAUCUGAUGAGAUUUCCACCUUAUCUCCUUGCUUUUCUUUGUUGUUUUCCUUUUCCUUCUCAUUAGGGAAAACCCUUGUAACCCAUUCCUUUGCUGUUUCUUGUACUUUUUGAGCCUUAUCUUCUUGUGUUUUAUUAUCAGUUUUCUGUAUUUCCUGAUUGUCCUUGUUUGGUUGUGACUUAUAAUCAACCUUUGCUACAACUUGACUUGAUUCCUCUUUCUUUUGCAGGUCUUCUUCCUGCUUUUGAUCAUUCAAAGCAUCAUAUGAAUUUUUUGUGGUUACUACUACUUUAGCUCUGGAUUCAAUGCUCUACAUUCAAUCUCUCCAUGUCCCUGUAGUUUGCGGUGCCUACAAUACUUGGGGAGGUAGUCGUAUUGAAUUUUAAUCCACUUGGAUUUGAUUUCUCCAGUAAUAUCAUCCUCUUCUACAAUUUUAAUCGUUUUUGGAUGGUUGGCUAAUAGAUCAAUUUCAAUUUUUACCUUGGCGCAACUUGGUCUUGUUUUGUUUUUUGUAGCCAUAUCAACUGUUAGAGGUCUUCCCACUGCAGAGGCUAAGGAAAAUAUUGCUUCGUUUGCAAAAAAAAUCCGAGGGAGAUCUGGAAAACUGAUCCAUGCAACCGCAACUGAAGUUUCUUCAUCUGGAUAAACCAAGGAUUCCAUAUCAAAGGCAUCAUCUGACAAUACAUAUUGUGAACCUUUAGAUAGUAUGUAGGGGUCGAUAUCAUCCUUAUAUAGUCUUCCAAUAAUGUAAGGCGUAUUAGCAUAUGUCUAUUGUCCAUCAGGCCAAUUUCACAUGGACCUUUAAUUUCACAUUGUAUUGGAAUGACUUUACUUAAUCCUCGCACGUCAGGUUUAUCAUAAGAAAACUUCCCAAGUAUCGCAUGUUGAAGAUUUUCUUGUAUGAUAAGUUUUUUGAUUUCAGAU